GAGUUUGAUCCUGGCUCAGGAUGAACGCUAGCGGCAGGCUUAACACAUGCAAGUCGAGGGGUAAAUAUAGGCAACUAUAUGAGACCGGACAAACGGGUGCGGAACACGUACUGAACCUACCUUGAUCUGGGGCAUAGCCCGGAGAAAUCCGGAUUAACUCCCCAUAGUAUGGAAUGGUGGCGAUCACCUAACCAUUAAAAUUUAUUGGAUCAAGAUGGCAGUGCGUCCCAUUAGCUAGUUGGUAGGGUAACGGCCUACCAAGGCGACGAUGGGUAGCUGGUGUGAGAGCACGACCCAGCCACACGGGCACU
Molecule: ribosomal RNA, 311 nt
Filed under: uncultured Sphingobacterium sp.
Lineage: Bacteria; Pseudomonadati; Bacteroidota; Sphingobacteriia; Sphingobacteriales; Sphingobacteriaceae
Description: bacterial SSU rRNA
Rfam family: Bacterial small subunit ribosomal RNA
Source: RNAcentral